This is a long non-coding RNA of Sorex araneus (European shrew), 1400 nucleotides long. RefSeq lists it as uncharacterized. Lineage: Eukaryota; Metazoa; Chordata; Mammalia; Eulipotyphla; Soricidae. The transcript is spliced from 3 exons. The record is from RefSeq and is a predicted model, not a curated record.
GUCACUGCCCGUUAGGGGACGGUGGGAGCCCGGGAUGAUGGGUUACAGGCGAGAACCUUGAUCCUGGAAACGCGCGUGGGCUUUAAAAGCUGGACACGAUUCAACCCCCGUGCCCAGGCCGGGGAGACAAGGGCCGCGGGUCGGCCGCGAUAGUGAGCGGAGGAAGCACGGGCACUGCAUGAGCGCCAGGUAGUUGCGUGCAGUUCGCAGCCACAGUUCAGGGAGCUGCUAGCAGGUAGGGAAAGGAUUUCCAGGUAAGGGCGCGGGAUUUCAAGCCGGGCUGUAAAAUGAACCGAGAUGCCAAUCUGGGUAUCUCACGGGGAGAUGGAAAUUUCGUCACAGCGCUAAAAUCUCGCACCCCCGGCCAGUGGGGCACUUAGACGACGAGGAUGGGAUUCGAACCCACGCGUGCAGAGCACAAUGGAUUAGCAGUCCAUCGCCUUAACCACUCGGCCACCUCGUCACCUGUAUUGCUCCCUUCCGAUAAGAGUUAUGUUGUUUUACUCAAUAGUGCUGUAUUAUAUAAUAUUUGUUCUGUGUGUUUUCCUGAAUGGAGCCAACGUUCUUGCUCUCUCUCUGUCCCUUGCUUGCUUGCUUUGAACAAAGAAGAAGAAAAAGAGACUGCAUCACAGGAAAGAGGACCCGAGUGAAAAGGACAAAAUACAUUUCCCAACGGAAAUGGGAAGAUGAAACGACAGCUUUUGCUUUCAAAAUCAACUUGGAUUUUAUUAUCUCUUUUAAAGCCUGCAUAUUCAAACCGGAUUGAACGAGUUAGGUUCUAUUUAUUUUUGAUGGACGUUCCCUCACUGAGCUCUCCGAAGGAUCACUGCUCUCUGAAUGCCUUCUAGGAAUAAUCAGCCAUCUCUCCAGGGAGUGCUCCUGGGUGAGUGGUGAAGGUGGGAGGGAGACGGAUAUAAUAUUUGUCCUCCCAAAAGGCUACCAAUGCUUGACCCCGACGUGACUUGAACACGCAACCUUCUGAUCUGGAGUCAGACGCGCUACCGUUGCGCCACGAGGUCACAAGAUAUACCUCAUGUUCCUGGUCUCUUCUAUUGCUCUGACUUGAAUAGAUGGAUGCUGUGGAUUCAUUUUGGACGGGACUCCUGUACGCCAAAGAAAAGUCUGUUUAACCCACCAUCUCUCCCCUGCAACAUGGCAAGAGGGCAGUGUGGCGCUUCUACACGGUGGCCUUCUGCCUGACUCACAGACCAACAAUGCUUUUUUUUUUUCUUUUUUCUUUUUGGGUCACACCCACUGAUGCUCAGGGGUUCCUCCUGGCUCUGCCUGCACUCAGGAAUUACUCCUGGCGGUGCUUGGAAACCAUAUGGGAAGGCGGGGAUCGAACCCUGGUUGGUCAACGCCCUCCCCGCGGUACUAUCACUCUGGCCCAAUAAAGCAUU